UACGGAGGGUGCGAGCGUUGUCCGGAAUCACUGGGCGUAAAGGGCGCGUAGGUGGUGGCUUAAGCGUGCGGUGAAAGCUCGGAGCUCAACUCCGAGUCGGCCGUGCGAACUGGGCUCACUAGAGCAUAGUAGAGGCAGGUGGAAUUCCGGGUGUAGCGGUGGAAUGCGUAGAGAUCCGGAAGAACACCGGUGGCGAAGGCGGCCUGCUGGGCUAUGGCUGACACUGAGGCGCGACAGCGUGGGGAGCAAACAGG
RNAcentral lists this ribosomal RNA (254 nucleotides) under uncultured bacterium. RNAcentral's name for it is "partial 16S ribosomal RNA". It matches the Rfam family "Bacterial small subunit ribosomal RNA", at positions 524 to 776 of the family's 1533-position model. The record is from RNAcentral.